This 287-nucleotide ribosomal RNA is filed under the name uncultured bacterium. RNAcentral's name for it is "partial 16S ribosomal RNA". It matches the Rfam family "Bacterial small subunit ribosomal RNA", at positions 775 to 1067 of the family's 1533-position model. The record is from RNAcentral.
GGAUUAGAUACCCUGGUAGUCCACGCCGUAAACGAUGGAUACUCGUUAUAGGCGAUAUACUGUCUGUGACCAAGCGAAAGUGAUAAGUAUCCCACCUGGGGAGUACGUUGGCAACAAUGAAACUCAAAGGAAUUGACGGGGGCCCGCACAAGCGGUGGAGCAUGUGGUUUAAUUCGAUGAUACGCGAGGAACCUUACCAAGGCUUAAAUGUAUAGUGACCGAUCUGGAAACAGAUCUUUCUUCGGACAAAAUACAAGGUGCUGCAUGGCUGUCGUCAGCUCGUGCUG